Non-coding RNA from Equus caballus (horse), 479 nucleotides. NCBI's taxonomy places the organism in Eukaryota, Metazoa, Chordata, Mammalia, Perissodactyla, Equidae. The record is from RefSeq and is a predicted model, not a curated record.
AGGUGAUUCUUUAACCAGAUGCGUAAAUGCGGAAUGUGUCCCUGUAAGACAUUCAUAUAAACAAUUUCAUGCAUCUGAAAGAUUCCUGGUCAAACCACGCACCUGCCACAUCUGAGAAGCCAGCUUCUGCCCUUCCUCUGCCCGCUUCUCUGACCGUGGAUGGCCUGGGGCCAGGGCACUCAGGGCGGGGACCCCCUCUCUGUCGCCGCAGUCCUUUGAGAGACCCACAUGUUGAUUUCACGGAAGACGGAGUUGGUUACUUCAGGAAGCUCUUUGUGGAGAACGUGGUAGGCACCUUCGUAAAUCUGCAACGAGGAGACAAGAAGUCAGGGCUUCAGGAAGUGACCGGUGAAGGGAGGGAGGCCAUGGGCGGCAGAGGGGGCCCUCCAGACUCUCCCCAUGCCCCAGGACUCCCAUCUUCCUGGCGCCAACACCUGUUGAUCAGAUGAUGGUUCAAAUAAAUUAAAGUGUGCCCCAUG